GAUGAAGAACGUAGCGAAAUGCGAUAAGUAAUGUGAAUUGCAGAAUUCAGUGAAUCAUCGAAUCUUUGAACGCACAUUGCGCCCGGUAGUAUUCUGCCGGGCAUGCCUGUUCGAGCGUCAUUUCAACCAUCAAGCCCCAGCGCUUGUGUUUGGGGCCUGCGGCUGCCGCAGCCCCCCAAAAGCAGUGGCGGGCUCGCUAUCACACCGAGUGCAGUAGUUCAUCUUCUCUCCGGUCUUGUGAGGCGGGUUCCGGCCGUGAAACACCCCACUACAUUCAAGGUUGACCUCGGAUCAGGUAGGAAUACCCGCUGAACUUAAGCAUAUCAAUAAGCGGAGGA
Molecule: unclassified non-coding RNA, 338 nt
Filed under: soil metagenome
Description: partial contains 5.8S ribosomal RNA, internal transcribed spacer 2, and large subunit ribosomal RNA
Rfam family: 5.8S ribosomal RNA (bases 1-120)
Source: RNAcentral